CCCUUAGAUGUUCUGGACUGCACGCGCGCUACACUGAUGCGCUCAACGAGUUUUAACCUUGCCUGGAAAGGUUGGGUAAUCUUUUUAAAACGCAUCGUGAUGGGGAUAGAUUAUUGCAAUUAUUAAUCUUCAACGAGGAAUUCCUAGUAAGCGCGAGUCAUCAGCUCGUGCUGAUUACGUCCCUGCCCUUUGUACACACCGCCCGUCGCUCCUACCGAUUGGGUGAUCCGGUGAAUAAUUCGGACUGCGGCAUUGACCGGUUCCCGAUCGUUGCUGCGGAAAGUUUAGUGAACCUUAUCACUUAGAGGAAGGAGAAGUCGUAACA
RNAcentral lists this ribosomal RNA (325 nucleotides) under uncultured eukaryote. Its description in RNAcentral is "partial 18S ribosomal RNA". It matches the Rfam family "Eukaryotic small subunit ribosomal RNA", at positions 1470 to 1796 of the family's 1831-position model. The record is from RNAcentral.